Molecule: ribosomal RNA, 448 nt
Filed under: uncultured bacterium
Lineage: Bacteria
Description: bacterial SSU rRNA
Rfam family: Bacterial small subunit ribosomal RNA
Source: RNAcentral
UCCAGACUCCUACGGGAGGCAGCAGUGGGGAAUAUUGCACAAUGGGGGAAACCCUGAUGCAGCGACGCCGCGUGAGCGAAGAAGUAUUUCGGUAUGUAAAGCUCUCUCAGCAGGGAAGAAAAAAAUGACGGUACCUGAGUAAGAAGCACCGGCUAAAUACGUGCCAGCAGCCGCGGUAAUACGUAUGGUGCAAGCGUUAUCCGGAUUUACUGGGUGUAAAGGGAGCGUAGGCGGCGCGUUAAGUCUGAUGUGAAAACCCGAGGCUCAACCACGGGAGUGCAUUGGAAACUGGCGGGCUGGAGUGCCGGAGAGGUAAGCGGAAUUCCUAGUGUAGCGGUGAAAUGCGUAGAUAUUAGGGGGAACACCAGUGGCGAAGGCGGCUUACUGGACGGCAACUGACGCUGAGGCUCGAAAGCGUGGGGAGCAAACAGGAUUAGAUACCCCGGUA